Non-coding RNA from Calypte anna (Anna's hummingbird), 134 nucleotides. The record is from Rfam. Lineage: Eukaryota; Metazoa; Chordata; Aves; Apodiformes; Trochilidae.
ACCUGCAUUCGAAAGUGAUUGCGGCCUCACCCGUGGCCUGGUCAUCGAUAGUGCAGGGAGAGAAACGGCGGCAGCUUUCCCGUGUCUGGGGGGGCCGCGUCCCGUUCUCCCCCAGACCCUGGUGCUGUCGGACA